CCUACGGGGGGCUGCAGUGGGGAAUAUUGGACAAUGGGCGAAAGCCUGAUCCAGCCAUGCCGCGUGUGUGAAGAAGGCCUUCGGGUUGUAAAGCACUUUCAGUGGGGAAGAAAGCCUUGGGGCUAAUACCCUCGAGGAAGGACAUCACCCACAGAAGAAGCACCGGCUAACUCCGUGCCAGCAGCCGCGGUAAUACGGAGGGUGCGAGCGUUAAUCGGAAUUACUGGGCGUAAAGCGCGCGUAGGCGGUCUGAUAAGCCGGUUGUGAAAGCCCCGGGCUCAACCUGGGAACGGCAUCCGGAACUGUCAGGCUAGAGUGCAGGAGAGGAAGGUAGAAUUCCCGGUGUAGCGGUGAAAUGCGUAGAGAUCGGGAGGAAUACCAGUGGCGAAGGCGGCCUUCUGGACUGACACUGACGCUGAGGUGCGAAAGCGUGGGUAGCAAACAGGAUUAGAUACCCUUGUAGUC
Molecule: ribosomal RNA, 465 nt
Filed under: Vreelandella stevensii
Lineage: Bacteria; Pseudomonadati; Pseudomonadota; Gammaproteobacteria; Oceanospirillales; Halomonadaceae
Description: partial 16S ribosomal RNA
Rfam family: Bacterial small subunit ribosomal RNA
Source: RNAcentral